This 404-nucleotide ribosomal RNA is filed under the name Bacillota bacterium. RNAcentral describes it as "Firmicutes bacterium partial 16S ribosomal RNA". It matches the Rfam family "Bacterial small subunit ribosomal RNA", at positions 355 to 776 of the family's 1533-position model. Lineage: Bacteria; Bacillati; Bacillota. The record is from RNAcentral.
UGGGGAAUAUUGGACAAUGGGCGAAAGCCUGAUCCAGCCAUGCCGCGUGAGUGAUGAAGGCCCUAGGGUUGUAAAGCUAUUUCACCGGUGAAGAUAAUGACGGUAACCGGAGAAGAAGCCCCGGCUAACUUCGUGCCAGCAGCCGCGGUAAUACGAAGGGGGCUAGCGUUGUUCGGAAUUACUGGGCGUAAAGCGCACGUAGGCGGAUAUUUAAGUCAGGGGUGAAAUCCCGGGGCUCAACCCCGGAACUGCCUUUGAUACUGGGUAUCUCGAGUCCGAGAGAGGUGAGUGGAAUUCCGAGUGUAGAGGUGAAAUUCGUAGAUAUUCGGAGGAACACCAGUGGAGAAGGCGGCUCACUGGCUCGGUACUGACGCUGAGGUGCGAAAGCGUGGGGAGCAAACAGG